CAGUGGGGAAUAUUGCACAAUGGAGGAAACUCUGAUGCAGCGACGCCGCGUGAAGGAAGACGAUAUUUCRGUAUGCAAACUUCUAUCAGCAGGGAAGAAAAUGACAGGUACCUGACUAAGAAGCCCCGGCUAACUACGUG
RNAcentral lists this ribosomal RNA (140 nucleotides) under uncultured bacterium. RNAcentral describes it as "partial 16S ribosomal RNA". It matches the Rfam family "Bacterial small subunit ribosomal RNA", at positions 352 to 507 of the family's 1533-position model. The record is from RNAcentral.